RNAcentral lists this long non-coding RNA (309 nucleotides) under Gallus gallus (chicken). The record is from RNAcentral. Lineage: Eukaryota; Metazoa; Chordata; Aves; Galliformes; Phasianidae.
CUGGGAUAGGUUCUCCUUCUGCUUCACAGAUGAGGGUGGCUUUCCCAUUCUCAAAUGUGGUUUCAUUUUUAAGUUGUAUUAUUUGAGGCUGUACAAAAACUUGAAGGAAUGUCUGUCUUUUAUCAUUUCCUGCUUUGUUUUUAGCACUGCAGAUAUAAGGACCCGCAUCAAUAUUUUUUAUAUCUCUUAUUGUUAACUCUGCAUUACUCCCUCUCAAUACGUAUUUUUCAUUUUCUUCAAUAAGUUUACCAUUCCUAAACCAACUUAUUUCUGGUGGAGGCGAUCCAGUGGCUCUGCAGAACAAAGUUA